Molecule: microRNA precursor, 97 nt
Filed under: Microtus ochrogaster (prairie vole)
Lineage: Eukaryota; Metazoa; Chordata; Mammalia; Rodentia; Cricetidae
Description: miRNA (ENSMOCG00000008912.1)
Source: RNAcentral
UAUACUGGACUUGGAGUCAGAAGACUUGGGUUUGGGAACUGGGCUAGGCUCUUAUUGAUUGGUUGUGUUAAACCCAACACAGUCUUUCUGACCUGGA